RNAcentral lists this transfer RNA (88 nucleotides) under Vibrio metoecus. RNAcentral's name for it is "tRNA-Tyr". It matches the Rfam family "tRNA". From Rfam's summary of the family: Transfer RNA (tRNA) molecules are approximately 80 nucleotides in length. Their secondary structure includes four short double-helical elements and three loops (D, anti-codon, and T loops). Further hydrogen bonds mediate the characteristic L-shaped molecular structure. tRNAs have two regions of fundamental functional importance: the anti-codon, which is responsible for specific mRNA codon recognition, and the 3' end, to which the tRNAs corresponding amino acid is attached (by aminoacyl-tRNA synthetases). tRNAs cope with the degeneracy of the genetic code in two manners: having more than one tRNA (with a specific anti-codon) for a particular amino acid; and 'wobble' base-pairing, i.e. permitting non-standard base-pairing at the 3rd anti-codon position. The record is from RNAcentral. Lineage: Bacteria; Pseudomonadati; Pseudomonadota; Gammaproteobacteria; Vibrionales; Vibrionaceae.
GGAGGGGUUCCCGAGUGGCCAAAGGGAGCAAGACUGUAAAUCUGCCGGCUCCGUCCUUACGAUGGUUCGAAUCCGUCCCCCUCCACCA